AAUAAGCGUAGCCAUAAGUUUUUGUUUUCAACUUUGAUCAUUCGUCUUAUUUGAAAUUAUUUUAUGAUUAUAUUUUUAUUGUUGCUAGAUUAUAAAACAUGAAAACUCCCUCUAUCCCAUAAUAUAACAUAAUAUAAGACGCGAUCAAAGUUGGCACGGUCUUUAAA
Molecule: microRNA precursor, 167 nt
Filed under: Oryza nivara
Lineage: Eukaryota; Viridiplantae; Streptophyta; Magnoliopsida; Poales; Poaceae
Description: MIR812 microRNA precursor family
Rfam family: MIR812 microRNA precursor family
Source: Rfam by way of RNAcentral